UGGGCUGUGGCUCGGUGGUGGAGCACUUACCUAGCAUGUGUGAAACACUGGGUUCAAUUCUCAGCACCACAU
Non-coding RNA from Ictidomys tridecemlineatus (thirteen-lined ground squirrel), 72 nucleotides. NCBI's taxonomy places the organism in Eukaryota, Metazoa, Chordata, Mammalia, Rodentia, Sciuridae. The record is from Rfam.